This 253-nucleotide ribosomal RNA is filed under the name uncultured bacterium. RNAcentral describes it as "partial 16S ribosomal RNA". It matches the Rfam family "Bacterial small subunit ribosomal RNA", at positions 524 to 776 of the family's 1533-position model. The record is from RNAcentral.
UACGAAGGGGGCUAGCGUUGUUCGGAAUUACUGGGCGUAAAGCGCGCGCAGGCGGUUCUUCAAGUCAGAGGUGAAAGCCCAGGGCUCAACCCUGGAAUGGCCUUUGAGACUAGAGGACUUGGGUACGGGAGAGGUGAGUGGAAUUCCGAGUGUAGAGGUGAAAUUCGUAGAUAUUCGGAAGAACACCAGUGGCGAAGGCGGCUCACUGGCCCGUUACCGACGCUCAGGCGCGACAGCGUGGGGAGCAAACGGG